GCCGAUGUGGUGGAAUUGGCAGACGCACCGGACUCAAAAUCCGGCGGUAGUGAUACCAUGUGGGUUCAAGUCCCACCGUCGGCACCA
RNAcentral lists this transfer RNA (87 nucleotides) under Bacillota bacterium. Its description in RNAcentral is "tRNA-Leu". It matches the Rfam family "tRNA". Rfam says of the family: Transfer RNA (tRNA) molecules are approximately 80 nucleotides in length. Their secondary structure includes four short double-helical elements and three loops (D, anti-codon, and T loops). RNAcentral also lists the same sequence under 1 other name. The record is from RNAcentral. Lineage: Bacteria; Bacillati; Bacillota.